Prionailurus viverrinus (fishing cat) is the source of this 1649-nucleotide long non-coding RNA. RefSeq lists it as uncharacterized. The transcript is spliced from 4 exons. The record is from RefSeq and is a predicted model, not a curated record. NCBI's taxonomy places the organism in Eukaryota, Metazoa, Chordata, Mammalia, Carnivora, Felidae.
GAUCCAAGUUUCUGGCCUACACUGUCAUUUUUCUUCUCUCUGAAGAAACAUUUCUUUCAAAGCAGAUCUUCUGCCGACAAAAUCCCUCAGUUUUUGUUGAUCAGGUGGCAUUUCAGAGGACAUCUUUAGCAGUAUGGACAUUUAUCUGACCUCUCACAAAGGAGAUGUGAUAAUAGACUGUGUCUUGAGUCUCAGAAACACAGACUGGGAGUGAAUUCAGGCUCUGAAGAUUAAGAGAAGUAUCCUAAAUUAGGGGAAAAGAAGAAAGCCCAGGGUGAAACAAAGAGAACUAAGUGGGUACACCGUUGAGAAAGAGGCCCUGCAUACUGUAGAUGAAUCCUUCACUAAUCAACACCCUGCUGAGAUCUUCCAUGUGGCAGAGAACCUGGCUGCUGGAAGCUGCCGCUCACAGCCACACUUAUUCACCACCAUAGGAGGGGAAAAUGCUGCUGAACCCUUUGACGCCCACCCCUUGAUCCUCCCGACCCAGCUUCUGUUUGAAAAGCUUCAGAGAUCAAUGUUCACUACCCUUCUAUUGGUGUUCCCACCCCAUAGAACUGUGACAUACUAUGACAAAUCCUCCUUGGGUUUAAGUCCCUAUGGACCUUAAUGGAAAGUGGCCAGUAUUUCUGAUAGCCUUGGUGAUUGGCACACACAUACUACAAAUGAAUUUUCACAUAGCACAAAGCCAUGUGCAAGGUGGCCUCUGAAGCCAGGAUGCUGUAGCAGAUCCAUGUGCUUGGAAUCCGAGGGGCAGCAGUUCGCCACCAAAGGAAAUACUGUGACCAGAGGAAGAGAAAAGGGGGAGCUGGCUGGUAAAAUAGUAAGUCUCCCCCACAGUCUGUACUGGGUAGCUAUCUAGUAGGAGGACCACACUAAUAAAGGUUUCCUGGGGAUGCCUGGGUGGCUUAGUCUGUUGAGCAUCCGACUCUUGAUUUUGGCUCAGGUCAUGAUCCCCGGGCAUGGGAUUGAGUCCUGCAUUGGGCUCUGCACUGAGCUUGGAGCCUGCUUGUGAUUCUCACUCUCCCUCUCUCUGCCCUGCUCCCCCACCUUCUCUAAAAUUUAAAAAAGAAAAAAAUUAAGGUUUCUUAAUGUCACAUCGAUAUGAUGAAGGUAAGUAAAAUAAUUAAUAAGAUACUGUGUCUUUUAUGGCCCAUUGGUUCAGAACUAGAAACUGGGCUCUGAAACAGAAUAGAACAAAACAACAGUGACAACAAAAACACUUAGCCUUUUCAUUGUAAAUGUGUAUAAACUCUGUAGCAGUUCAACGAUGAGAUUUGGCUUAUAGGCCAUGAAUGGGCCUGGUGGUUUUUGCGCUCAAAUCUCAUUAUAUGCCUGCAGAGAACAAAGUGCUUUGUGCUAUGUGAAAAUUAGUUUAUAGUAUGUGUGUACCAAUCAUCAGGAUUAUCAGAAAUACUGGCCACUUUUCUUUAAGGUCCGUAGGGACUUAAAUCUGAAAUGCAUUUCUAUGAAAACUUCAUUUCGCUGCAUAAUUCUGAAAUGAUUCUAGCCAACUGUUUAUUCAUAGCAGCCUUUUCAGGCAAUAGUCUAGGAGUAAUUUCUCUGCAUGUCUUCUUCUCCUUGUCCUUCUUCUUCUUUUUUCUAAAUAGGCUCCACACCCAGUGCAGAGCCCAACAUGGGGCUUGAAU